ACGAACGCUGGCGGCGUGCUUAACACAUGCAAGUCGAACGGAAAGGCCCUGCUUUUGUGGGGUGCUCGAGUGGCGAACGGGUGAGUAACACGUGAGUAACCUGCCCUUGACUUUGGGAUAACUUCAGGAAACUGGGGCUAAUACCGGAUAGGAGCUCCUGCUGCCUGGUGGGGGUUGGAAAGUUUCGGCGGUUGGGGAUGGACUCGCGGCUUAUCAGCUUGUUGGUGGGGUAGUGGCUUACCAAGGCUUUGACGGGUAGCCGGCCUGAGAGGGUGACCGGCCACAUUGGGACUGAGAUACGGCCCAGACUCCUACGGGAGGCAGCAGUGGGGAAUUGUGCACAAUGGGCGGAAGCCUGAUGCAGCAACGCCGCGUGCGGGAUGACGGCCUUCGGGUUGUAAACCGCUUUCGCCUGUGACGAAGCGUGAGUGACGGUAAUGGGUAAAGAAGCACCGGCUAACUACGUG
This 467-nucleotide ribosomal RNA is filed under the name uncultured bacterium. RNAcentral's name for it is "partial 16S ribosomal RNA". It matches the Rfam family "Bacterial small subunit ribosomal RNA", at positions 29 to 507 of the family's 1533-position model. The record is from RNAcentral.